GAUGAACGCUAGCGGCAGGCUUAACACAUGCAAGUCGAGGGGCAGCACGGGUAGCAAUACCUGGUGGCGACCGGCGCAAGGGUGCGUAACGCGUGAGCAACAUGCCCUAUACAGGGGGAUAAUCCAGGGAAACUUGGUCUAAUAUCCCAUAGUAUUUAGAGGAGGCAUCUUCUAUAAAUUAAAGCUUCGGUGGUAUAGGAUUGGCUCGCGUGACAUUAGCUAGAUGGUGAGGUAACGGCUCACCAUGGCAAUGAUGUCUAGGGGUUCUGAGAGGGUUGUCCCCCACACUGGUACUGAGACACGGACCAGACUCCUACGGGAGGCAGCAGUGAGGAAUAUUGGUCAAUGGGCGCAAGCCUGAACCAGCCAUCCCGCGUGAAGGAAGAAUGCGCUACGCGUUGUAAACUUCUUUUCCAGGGGAGAAUAAUCCUGUCGUGACAGGACUUGACGGUACUCUGGGAAUAAGCAUCGGCUAACUCCGUGCC
Molecule: ribosomal RNA, 485 nt
Filed under: uncultured bacterium
Lineage: Bacteria
Description: bacterial SSU rRNA
Rfam family: Bacterial small subunit ribosomal RNA
Source: RNAcentral